AAGUCGUAACAAGGUUUCCGUAGGUGAACCUGCGGAAGGAUCAUUAUUGAAUUAAAAUCUGGCUUGGUUGUUGCUGGUCUUUUGCGAGACAAUGUGCACGCCUCGUCAUUUUUAUAUUACCACCUGUGCACCUUUUGUAGACUUGAACAACAUUUUUUCCGAGGUAACUCGGUCGUGAGGAAUUGCUUAUAAAAUGGCUCUCCUUGAAUGUUAUUCAAGCCUAUGUUUUCAUAUACACCAUAAGCAUGUAAUAGAAUGUAAUUAUUAGACUUUAAUGUCUUAUAAACUUUAUACAACUUUCAGCAACGGAUCUCUUGGCUCUC
This 323-nucleotide unclassified non-coding RNA is filed under the name Stropharia sp. Its description in RNAcentral is "partial internal transcribed spacer region". The stretch from base 1 to 46 matches the Rfam family "Eukaryotic small subunit ribosomal RNA", at positions 1786 to 1831 of the family's 1831-position model. Lineage: Eukaryota; Fungi; Basidiomycota; Agaricomycetes; Agaricales; Strophariaceae. The record is from RNAcentral.